RNAcentral lists this long non-coding RNA (1012 nucleotides) under Lynx pardinus (Iberian lynx). Lineage: Eukaryota; Metazoa; Chordata; Mammalia; Carnivora; Felidae. The record is from RNAcentral.
GGGCCCAGGUGUGGAGUGGCCGCCAUCCCUACCUGAGCACACAGCCCGGGAACAGGAUUUCGUUCUCCACCUGCACGAAGGAGCCUCGGGCCACCGUCAUCUUGUGCUCAUACUGCAUCCUCACCUGGUUGCGCAGGUAGUAGCUCUUGGGCACCUCACCCCCAUAGUUGAUCUGUGGGUGAGGGCUGCUGAGUGAGCACUGACCCCAGCCAUCAGCCCUCCCUUCUCACCCUCUGGGCACCCGGUACCUUGGUCAGGCACUUGGGGUUGCCAUCAGGAUCAGUCAUGGUCCCCCCAAACUCCACGGGCAGCUGCUCAGGGCUGAUGAACUUUGGCAGCUCCUGCUUCCAGUUGCCUGUGGGAGUAAGGUGGUGGGGGGGAGCUGUGGGGAAAUCAGGGAUGCUCGACAGAAGGGAGAGGAGCCAAGUCCAGGGAGGAAACCUGAUGUGACCUUGGCUUGCUCCCCUAUGCACCUACUGCAGAGAACACCCAAAUGCUUUAUAUGGCCACUCAGGCUGGGGUCUCGGGCUGAAAUAUCAUCUGAGUGUGCAAAGGCCAGCAGGGUCAGGCCAAAGUCAGUACCUGAGUAAAGAGGAUGAGCCAGGGAGAAAUGGGGCCUUUCACAUUGACCUCUGCUUCUCUGGUAGAUGCGGAGACAGGUACGGCCAGGACACCAGGUCACUCACCUCCCAGAAUCACUAUCUUCCUUUGUGUUUCCUCACUCAUGAACAUCUUGACCAAGUUGAAGGCCACAGGGAAGAGCUUGGGGGCUGAAACACAUGAAGCUCCUUUGGGAAGCUGGGCUAGAGGACUUGGAGGUAUAGUCAUGGCCAAGGGCAUAAGCUGAACAGGGGUUGGAUAGAUCUAGAUUCUGCUAUUUCCUGCUGUGUGACCUUCAGCUAGUUACUCACCCUCUCUGAGUCUUAGUGCUAUUAACUAGAAAAUGGAGAAAUUUAACCAAUGUAUGCAUAAUACUUGGCAUAGUGUCUGGCUCUCAAUAAACGGGUGCCUC